RNAcentral lists this unclassified non-coding RNA (307 nucleotides) under Basidiomycota sp. Its description in RNAcentral is "partial contains small subunit ribosomal RNA, internal transcribed spacer 1, and 5.8S ribosomal RNA". The stretch from base 1 to 47 matches the Rfam family "Eukaryotic small subunit ribosomal RNA", at positions 1785 to 1831 of the family's 1831-position model. The record is from RNAcentral. Lineage: Eukaryota; Fungi; Basidiomycota.
AAAGUCGUAACAAGGUUUCCGUAGGUGAACCUGCGGAAGGAUCAUUAUUGAAUAAAUUUGGUUGGGUUGUUGCUGGCUCUUCGGAGCAUGUGCACGCUCACUCCAUUUUUAACCACCUGUGCACCUUGUGUAGAUCUGAACAACUCUCGGGGAAACUCGGUCAGAGGAUUGCUGUGUGUAAAAGCCAGCUUUCCUUGGGUUCAGAUCUAUGUCUCUAUAUACACCAUAAGAAUGUAUUGGAAUGUAAUUUUAGGCUUAUAGCCUUUAAAAUCAAAUACAACUUUCAACAACGGAUCUCUUGGCUCUC